RNAcentral lists this ribosomal RNA (1002 nucleotides) under Escherichia coli. Its description in RNAcentral is "partial 23S ribosomal RNA". It matches the Rfam family "Bacterial large subunit ribosomal RNA", at positions 1920 to 2916 of the family's 2925-position model. The record is from RNAcentral. Lineage: Bacteria; Pseudomonadati; Pseudomonadota; Gammaproteobacteria; Enterobacterales; Enterobacteriaceae.
CCGGUAAACGGCGGCCGUAACUAUAACGGUCCUAAGGUAGCGAAAUUCCUUGUCGGGUAAGUUCCGACCUGCACGAAUGGCGUAAUGAUGGCCAGGCUGUCUCCACCCGAGACUCAGUGAAAUUGAACUCGCUGUGAAGAUGCAGUGUACCCGCGGCAAGACGGAAAGACCCCGUGAACCUUUACUAUAGCUUGACACUGAACAUUGAGCCUUGAUGUGUAGGAUAGGUGGGAGGCUUUGAAGUGUGGACGCCAGUCUGCAUGGAGCCGACCUUGAAAUACCACCCUUUAAUGUUUGAUGUUCUAACGUUGGCCCGUUAUCCGGGUUGCGGACAGUGUCUGGUGGGUAGUUUGACUGGGGCGGUCUCCUCCUAAAGAGUAACGGAGGAGCACGAAGGUUGGCUAAUCCUGGUCGGACAUCAGGAGGUUAGUGCAAUGGCAUAAGCCAGCUUGACUGCGAGCGUGACGGCGCGAGCAGGUGCGAAAGCAGGUCAUAGUGAUCCGGUGGUUCUGAAUGGAAGGGCCAUCGCUCAACGGAUAAAAGGUACUCCGGGGAUAACAGGCUGAUACCGCCCAAGAGUUCAUAUCGACGGCGGUGUUUGGCACCUCGAUGUCGGCUCAUCACAUCCUGGGGCUGAAGUAGGUCCCAAGGGUAUGGCUGUUCGCCAUUUAAAGUGGUACGCGAGCUGGGUUUAGAACGUCGUGAGACAGUUCGGUCCCUAUCUGCCGUGGGCGCUGGAGAACUGAGGGGGGCUGCUCCUAGUACGAGAGGACCGGAGUGGACGCAUCACUGGUGUUCGGGUUGUCAUGCCAAUGGCACUGCCCGGUAGCUAAAUGCGGAAGAGAUAAGUGCUGAAAGCAUCUAAGCACGAAACUUGCCCCGAGAUGAGUUCUCCCUGACUCCUUGAGAGUCCUGAAGGAACGUUGAAGACGACGACGUUGAUAGGCCGGGUGUGUAAGCGCAGCGAUGCGUUGAGCUAACCGGUACUAAUGAACCGUGAGG